Molecule: ribosomal RNA, 862 nt
Filed under: uncultured Microgenomates group bacterium
Lineage: Bacteria
Description: bacterial SSU rRNA
Rfam family: Bacterial small subunit ribosomal RNA
Source: RNAcentral
GAGUUUGAUCAUGGCUCAGGAUGAACGCUGGCGGCGUGUCUAAGGCAUGCAAGUCGUAUGGGUUUAGACCCAUGGCAAACGGGAGAGUAACACAUUGGUAACCUACCCCAAAGUCAGGCAUAACCUCGCGAAAGUGAGGAUAAUUCCUGAUGGUAUCAAGUAGCAUAUGCUAUUUGCUUAAAGCUUCGGCGCUUUGGGAGGGACCUAUGCCCCAUCAGCUAGUUGGUAAGGUAAUGGCUUACCAAGGCGACGACGGGUACCGGGUGUGAGAGCAUGGCCCGGCUCACUGGGACUGAGACACUGCCCAGACUCCUACGGGAGGCUGCAGUCAAGAAUAUUCCUCAAUGGCCGAAAGGCUGAAGGAGCGACGCCGCGUGUGUGAUGAAGCCCUUUGGGGUGUAAAGCACUUUUAUAUGGGACGAACAAAUGACGGUACCAUAUGAAUAAGGGGCUGCUAAACUCGUGCCAGCAGCAGCGGUAAUACGAGUGCCCCGAGCGUUAUCCGGAUUUAUUGGGCGUAAAGCGUACGUAGACGGUUUGUAACAUCUCCUGUUAAAUCACAAGGCUCAACUUUGUGACUGCGGGAGAUAUGGAUAAACUAGAGACUGGGAGAGGUAAGCGGAAUUGCUGGUGUAGGGGUUAAAUCCGUUAAUAUCAGCAGGAACACCAAAAGCGAAGGCAGCUUACUAGAACAGUUCUGACGUUAAGGUACGAAAGCGUGGGUAGCGAAUGGGAUUAGAUACCCCAGUAGUCCACGCCGUAAACGAUGGAUGCUAAACAUUGGAAGUGUCGACCCUUUCAGUGUUGUUUAAUCAAGCUAACGCCUUAAGCAUCCCGCCUGGGGAGUACGGUCGCAAGAUUA